RNAcentral lists this transfer RNA (73 nucleotides) under Anaerolineales bacterium. Its description in RNAcentral is "tRNA-Arg". It matches the Rfam family "tRNA". From Rfam's summary of the family: Transfer RNA (tRNA) molecules are approximately 80 nucleotides in length. Their secondary structure includes four short double-helical elements and three loops (D, anti-codon, and T loops). Lineage: Bacteria; Bacillati; Chloroflexota; Anaerolineae; Anaerolineales. RNAcentral also lists the same sequence under 1 other name. The record is from RNAcentral.
GCCCUCGUAGCUCAGUGGAUAGAGCACUUGCUUGCGGAGCAAGGGGUCGCGUGUUCGAGUCACGCCGAGGGCG